This is a long non-coding RNA of Homarus americanus (American lobster), 608 nucleotides long. RefSeq lists it as uncharacterized. The record is from RefSeq and is a predicted model, not a curated record. The transcript has 2 exons. NCBI's taxonomy places the organism in Eukaryota, Metazoa, Arthropoda, Malacostraca, Decapoda, Nephropidae.
CAUUCCUUUCCCUUCACCACCCCUUAUCCCUCAUCACCCCUUAUCCCCCACCAUUUCCUUUCCCCUCACCAUCCCGUAUCCUUCACCAUCCCUUAUACCUCACCACCCCUUAUCCCACACCAUUCCUUUCCCCUCACCAUCCUAUAUCCCUCACCACUCCUUAUCCCUCACCAUUUCCUUUCCCCUUGCCACUCCUUCUCCCCCACCAUUUCCUUUCCCCUUACCACCCCCUUAUCACCCCUUACCCCCUUUAGCAGUUGUCAUUACCGAUAUAGGAGAAAGACCUUUUACGUCUGGCAGAGGGGAGCCAUGUGAAGUUACUGCCGGAAGGGUUUUGACAACUUAACGUUCAGUCAGUGUAUCAGGUGCCGCUGUAGUGAGUGGACGGGACAAGUAGUCAGCUCUCCCAGUGGAUAUAUACCUCAUAAACUAUUAAAUACCUUCAAUACUAUAACUGACAAUCUAGUACUGCGCCUGUGUCUCAGUUAUAAGCUCACAGCGCCAAUAUUAACCGGACACGGAGGAUAGAGGAGCAGACGACCAAUUGGAAGGCAUAUAUAUAUCCACGCACUACCACCCUCACCACCCACUACCACUGCCACCCUUCC